Molecule: ribosomal RNA, 362 nt
Filed under: uncultured bacterium
Lineage: Bacteria
Description: bacterial SSU rRNA
Rfam family: Bacterial small subunit ribosomal RNA
Source: RNAcentral
AGAGUUUGAUCCUGGCUCAGAAUGAACGCUGGCGGCAGGCCUAACACAUGCAAGUCGGACGGAAACGACAGGAACAAUCCCUUCGGGGUGCGCUCCUGGGCGUCGAGUGGCGGACGGGUGAGUAAUGCGUGGGAAUCUGCCCUUUAGUCGGGGGCAACCUGUGGAAACGCAGGCUAAUAUCGGAUGUGCUCUACGGAGUAAAGGUGCCCUCUACUUGUAAGGUAUCGCUAAAGGAUGAGCCCACGUUAGAUUAGCUAGUUGGUGGGGUAAAGGCCUACCAAGGCGACGAUCUAUAGCUGGUUUGAGAGGAUGAUCAGCCACACUGGGACUGAGACACGGCCCAGACACCUACGGGUGGCAGC